RNAcentral lists this ribosomal RNA (117 nucleotides) under Aeriscardovia aeriphila. Lineage: Bacteria; Bacillati; Actinomycetota; Actinomycetes; Bifidobacteriales; Bifidobacteriaceae. The record is from RNAcentral.
CGGUGGUCAUAGCCCCGGGGAGACGCCCAGCCUCCAUUCCGAACCUGGAAGCUAAGCCCGGGCACGGCGAUGGUACUGCACUCGAGAGGGUGUGGGAGAGUAGCACGCUGCCGCAUU